GGGUCAGUAGGUUGGUCGUGCCACCGGUACGUACUGGUCUCACUGAUUCCUCCUUCCUGAAGAACCGUAAUGCCAUUAAUUUGGUGUUGCGGGGAAACAGGACUGUUACUUUGAAAAGAUUGGAGUGUUUAAAGCAAGCUAACGCUUGAAUACAUUAGCAUGGAAUAAUGAAAUAGGACGAUCGAUCCUAUUUUGUUGGUUUCUAGGAUUGACGUA
This 216-nucleotide ribosomal RNA is filed under the name Glomeromycotina sp. RNAcentral describes it as "partial small subunit ribosomal RNA". The stretch from base 40 to 216 matches the Rfam family "Eukaryotic small subunit ribosomal RNA", at positions 686 to 864 of the family's 1831-position model. The record is from RNAcentral. Lineage: Eukaryota; Fungi; Glomeromycota.